This 490-nucleotide ribosomal RNA is filed under the name uncultured bacterium. Its description in RNAcentral is "partial 16S ribosomal RNA". It matches the Rfam family "Bacterial small subunit ribosomal RNA", at positions 30 to 507 of the family's 1533-position model. The record is from RNAcentral.
AUUGAACGCUGGCGGCAGGCCUAACACAUGCAAGUCGAACGGUAACAGGAAGAAGCUUGCUUCUUUGCUGACGAGUGGCGGACGGGUGAGGAAUGUCUGGGAAACUGCCUGAUGGAGGGGGAUAACUACUGGAAACGGUAGCUAAUACCGCAUAACGUCGCAAGACCAAAGAGGGGGACCUUCGGGCCUCUUGCCAUCGGAUGUGCCCAGAUGGGGUUAGCUAGUAGGUGGGGUAACGGCUCACCUAGGCGACGAUCCCUAGCUGGUCUGAGAGGAUGACCAGCCACACUGGAACUGAGACACGGUCCAGACUCCUACGGGAGGCAGCAGUGGGGAAUAUUGCACAAUGGGCGCAAGCCUGAUGCAGCCAUGCCGCGUGUAUGAAGAAGGCCUUCGGGUUGUAAAGUACUUUCAGCGGGGAGGAAGGGAGUAAAGUUAAUACCUUUGCUCAUUGACGUUACCCGCAGAAGAAGCACCGGCUAACUCCGUG